GACGAACGCUGGCGGCGUGCUUAACACAUGCAAGUCGAACGGAAAGGCCCUGCUUUUGUGGGGUGCUCGAGUGGCGAACGGGUGAGUAACACGUGAGUAACCUGCCCUUGACUUUGGGAUAACUUAAGGAAACUGGGGCUAAUACCGGAUAGGAGCUCCUGCUGCAUGGUGGGGGUUGGAAAGUUUCGGCGGGUGGGGAUGGACUCGCGGCUUAUCAGCUAGUUGGUGGGGUAGUGGCUUACCAAGGCUUUGACGGGUAGCCGGCCUGAGAGGGUGACCGGCCACAUUGGGACUGAGAUACGGCCCAGACUCCUACGGGAGGCAGCAGUGGGGAAUAUUGCACAAUGGGCGGAAGCCUGAUGCAGCAACGCCGCGUGCGGGAUGACGGCCUUCGGGUUGUAAACCGCUUUCGCCUGUGACGAAGCGUGAGUGACGGUAAUGGGUAAAGAAGCACCGGCUAACUACGUG
RNAcentral lists this ribosomal RNA (468 nucleotides) under uncultured bacterium. RNAcentral describes it as "partial 16S ribosomal RNA". It matches the Rfam family "Bacterial small subunit ribosomal RNA", at positions 28 to 507 of the family's 1533-position model. The record is from RNAcentral.